UAUGUGAUCGUCUCUCGCAUAUCAAUAAGCGGAGGAAAAGAAGCUAACAAGGAUUCCCCUAGUAACGGCGAGUGAAGCGGGAAGAGCUCAAAUUUGAAAUCUUAAAGGGUUUCCCUUUACGAAUUGUAGUUUAAAGAAGUGUUUUCUGUUGAGGUUUUGGUAAAAGUUCUUUGGAAUAGGACAUCAUAGAGGGUGAGAAUCCCGUAUUUGACCAUUACUUUUCAACUUUGUGAUACACUUUCAAAGAGUCGGAUUGUUUGGGAAUGCAGUCCAAAAUGGGUGGUAAAUUUCAUCUAAAGCUAAAUAUUGGCGAGAGACCGAUAGCGAACAGGUACCGUGAGGGAAAGAUGAAAAGAACUUUGAAAAGAGGAGUUAAACAGUACGUGAAAUUGUCAAAAGGGAAGCGUUUGACACCAGUGUUGUUUUUCUGAAAAUCAAUUAAAGAACUGUUUAUGCUAAGUUGUUUAGACUUUAUCAGCUAACUGUUUAGUUUUGAGCUUUUCUUUAAUGCACUUUUCAGUUAACAAGUCAACAUCAAUUUCUUUUGCUGUAAAAAAGCUUGAGGAAGGUGGCUUGAGAUUCAUCUUAAGUGUUUAUAGCCUCUUGCCUAUGCAGUCGGAGAGAUUGAGGUCUGCAGCGUAGAUCCUUCGGGGCUAAAUGCAUUUGUGCUAAGUUAUAGCAUUUUAUAGACAACUUGUUGACUAUGAUUUGUCUUGUAGCUUACUCGCUUAUGUUAUUUUACCUACGCUUAGGAUGUUGAGUAGCGACAUACGCAC
This 776-nucleotide ribosomal RNA is filed under the name uncultured Neocallimastigales. RNAcentral's name for it is "partial large subunit ribosomal RNA". It matches the Rfam family "Eukaryotic large subunit ribosomal RNA", at positions 24 to 649 of the family's 3401-position model. Lineage: Eukaryota; Fungi; Neocallimastigomycota; Neocallimastigomycetes; Neocallimastigales. The record is from RNAcentral.